GCCUGGCUGGCUCAGUUGGUAGAGCAUGUGACUCUUGAUCUCACGGUCAUGAGUUUGAGACCCACAUUGGGCA
Molecule: transfer RNA, 73 nt
Filed under: Canis lupus familiaris (dog)
Lineage: Eukaryota; Metazoa; Chordata; Mammalia; Carnivora; Canidae
Also listed under: 1 other name
Rfam family: tRNA
About the family: Transfer RNA (tRNA) molecules are approximately 80 nucleotides in length.
Source: Rfam by way of RNAcentral